RNAcentral lists this ribosomal RNA (450 nucleotides) under uncultured bacterium. RNAcentral describes it as "partial 16S ribosomal RNA". It matches the Rfam family "Bacterial small subunit ribosomal RNA", at positions 29 to 523 of the family's 1533-position model. The record is from RNAcentral.
AACGAACGCUGGCGGCAUGCCUAACACAUGCAAGUCGAACGAGUACCUUCGGGUGCUAGUGGCGCACGGGUGAGUAACGCGUGGGAACCUGCCUUUCGGUACGGGAUAACGUCGGGAGACUGACGCUAAUACCGUAUAUGUCUUUGGACGAAAGAUUUAUCGCCGGAAGAGGGGCCCGCGUCUGAUUAGGUAGUUGGUGAGGUAACGGCUCACCAAGCCUUCGAUCAGUAGCUGGUCUGAGAGGAUGAUCAGCCACACUGGGACUGAGACACGGCCCAGACUCCUACGGGAGGCAGCAGUGGGGAAUAUUGGACAAUGGGCGCAAGCCUGAUCCAGCAAUGCCGCGUGAGUGAUGAAGGCCUUCGGGUUGUAAAGCUCUUUUGCCUGCGACGAUGAUGACGGUAGCAGGAGAAUAAGCCCCGGCUAACUUCGUGCCAGCCGCCGCAGUAA